Molecule: non-coding RNA, 667 nt
Organism: Phascolarctos cinereus (koala)
Lineage: Eukaryota; Metazoa; Chordata; Mammalia; Diprotodontia; Phascolarctidae
Source: RefSeq, a predicted model, not a curated record
UUGACUUAAGAAUCACUCACUUUGACUAUGUCACUAUUCAGGAUAUAAAUCAUGGGACACCAUUUUCUCAGAAGAAUCAGAAUUUCAGGUGACCCAAAGGACAAAGGAGAGACACACAGUAGGUGAAUGAUUAUUAGAGACAGAAUAGACCAGGCUAUGACCAGGUAAGAAUAAAGGUUUGGCAGAAUCCCCAGAAGUACAGUGACAGAAGUCUAUGAUGCCAUCAUGCUCCAAAGACCUCACCUACCAAUCUAUUUUGGUGAUUUGAUUACCUACUCAUGGAGUAAAACUUCAGAAAGCCUUGUGUCUAGUGUCUACUGCAGUGCUCCUGUGGCAAAUCUGUCUGCAUUUUAGCUGUGAACUAGUAUUCCUCCUAUGUGGAUUAACAUUUAUAACUGUCAAGAAAGACACCUACACAUCUACAAGUUCAUUAUGGAAACCAGGCUUAAACAGUGAUUAAAAAUCUUAAUAAUGGAGAUUAAACUAAAAAGUUUGUCACACCUUUCGAAGAGCAGAAUGUUAAACAAUUACCCGUACAUCUCUGGUUGUAAAUAAUUGUGCCAGGCCUUCUGUGGACAUUACCUGCAGGCAGUACCAAAUUUAAAUGAUGGGUUAAAGUCUACUCUGAAUUUGCAGAAUUAAAUAAACCAAAUGAUGUGUCAUAAAA